This 386-nucleotide ribosomal RNA is filed under the name uncultured bacterium. Its description in RNAcentral is "bacterial SSU rRNA". It matches the Rfam family "Bacterial small subunit ribosomal RNA", at positions 29 to 416 of the family's 1533-position model. The record is from RNAcentral.
AUUGAACGCUGGCGGCAUGCCUUACACAUGCAAGUCGAACGGCAGCACGGGAGCAAUCCUGGUGGCGAGUGGCGAACGGGUGAGUAAUAUAUCGGAACGUGCCCAGUCGUGGGGAUAACGUAGCGAAAGCUACGCUAAUACCGCAUACGAUCUACGGAUGAAAGCGGGGGAUCGCAAGACCUCGCGCGAUUGGAGCGGCCGAUAUCAGAUUAGGUAGUUGGUGAGGUAAAGGCUCACCAAGCCGACGAUCUGUAGCUGGUCUGAGAGGACGACCGGCCACACUGGGACUGAGACACGGCCCAGACUCCUACGGGAGGCAGCAGUGGGGAAUUUUGGACAAUGGGCGGCAAGCCUGAUCCAGCAAUGCCGCGUGCAGGAUGAAGGCC